ACAUGUUCUAUUCUGCAACAUUAAGAGAUUAACCACCUUGUCCCUAAUAUCCAUCACUAAAAAAACAUUCAAUUGAUUGAGUUUUAAAGCUGUGUUUUUGAAUGACUAGAUAUAGAAAAAAAAAUACAAUGAUUUAUGAUGCAACCUUGGGCUUUGGCUUCGAUUGUUUUGCUUUCGAGUACAAGAAGACUCCAGUAAGGGCCAGUGUAGUGCCUGCAUGUACGCCCAGUAAAAACUUAGCAUUUUACCAGUAUAACUGUAUAAAGAUAAAUUUUGUAUGUUCAUUAUUUUUACCGUACUAAUGACCAAGUUUUUACCGAGUGACUUAAUGGGUGAAACAAGGGUUUGGAAGAAGAUAACUGAUGCAAUUUUUACCACAACUCUCUUCACAGAGUUCCCCAUUGAAUGUGUCACUGGUGACACCAUUUGCAAUAUCACAUACAACUAGAGGUGUGCAUGGCCGAGCCGAGUCGGGCUCAGACAAAAUUUUAGGCCUAUUUUCUAGGCCCGAGCCCAGUUCGGCCCGAAAUAUGGGCUUAAAAAUUUAUCCAAGCCAGGCCCGAAAUAAAAUUGUUAAGCUCGAGCCUUGCCUGGCCCGGCCCAUAUUAAAUUUUUUUACUUAAUUUCAUUAAAUAAAAAAAUUUUAAAAUAUAAUAAUUCAAAUACAUUUAAAACAAGAAACACAUGAAAAAUAAUACUAAAACAAUUCUAAAAACAAUACACAAAUUGAAAAUAUAAUAAAAAGUGAUUAUAUUAAAAUUGAAAAUAAAAUGUAAAUAUGAUUAAAAAUAAAAAAUAUAUAUAUUUAGUAUAUAAUUCGGGCCGAGCUGGGCCCGGGUAAAAAAGUUUUACCCAAGCCCAGCCCAUUUUCUAAACGGGCCUCUUUUUUUGUCCAAACCCAUAUUUCGGAUCUAUAUUUUUACCUGAACCCUCCCAUUUUUUGGGCAGACCUUCGGGCCGGACCGGGUAACCUGGCCCAUGCACACCUCUACAUACAACACCUGUCCAUUUGUAAUAUAUUGGAAAAAAAAUUCCAAAUUUGAAUAACAUAUCAUUCAGAAUAUAGACGUACCUGUUGAUAACUGUGUAAACAGAAUUCAGCCU
Molecule: long non-coding RNA, 1104 nt
Filed under: Gossypium barbadense (sea-island cotton)
Lineage: Eukaryota; Viridiplantae; Streptophyta; Magnoliopsida; Malvales; Malvaceae
Description: long non-coding RNA (GBAR_LNC011686)
Source: RNAcentral